RNAcentral lists this ribosomal RNA (1838 nucleotides) under human gut metagenome. RNAcentral describes it as "bacterial LSU rRNA". It matches the Rfam family "Bacterial large subunit ribosomal RNA", at positions 406 to 2505 of the family's 2925-position model. The record is from RNAcentral.
UCCUGAGUAAGUCGGGACACGUGUAAUCCUGACCGAAUCCGCCGGGACCAUCCGGCAAGGCUAAAUACUCCUGAGAGACCGAUAGUGAACCAGUACCGUGAGGGAAAGGUGAAAAGCACUUCGAACAGAAGAGUGAAAUAGUCCCUGAACCCAUACGCCUACAAGCUGUCGGAGCCGCUUCGUGCGGUGACGGCGUGCCUUUUGCAUAAUGAGCCUACGAGUUACUCAUCACCAGCGAGGUUAAGUACUUCAGGUACGUAAGCCGAAGCGAAAGCGAGUCUGAAUAGGGCGUCAAGUUGGUGGUGGUAGACGCGAAACCUUAGUGAUCUACCCAUGGGCAGGGUGAAGGUUUGGUAACACAAACUGGAGGCCCGAACCGGUAAACGUUGAAAAGUUUUCGGAUGACCUGUGGGUAGGGGUGAAAGGCCAAUCAAACUGGGAAAUAGCUCGUACUCUCCGAAAUGCAUUUAGGUGCAGCCUCUGUUGUUUUGUUCUAGAGGUAGAGCUACUGAUUGGAUGCGAGGGCUUCACCGCCUAUCAAAUCCGGCCAAACUCCGAAUGCUAGAACAUGAAGACAGGGAGUGAGCCAGCGGGUGCUAAGGUCCGUUGACGAAAGAGGGAGAACUCAGACCAUCAGCUAAGGUCCCCAAUUCGAAGCUAUGGGAUUGUAGAUGAUACAAUCGGUAGGAGAGCAUUCCAUUCAGCAUAGAAGCAGUAUCGUGAGGUAUUGUGGAGCGGAUGGAAAAGCAAAUGUAGGCAUAAGUAACGAUAAUGCGGGUGAGAACCCCGCACGCCGAAAGAUCAAGGAUUCCCCGGCAAUGUCAAUCAUCCGGGGGUAAGUCGGAUCCUAAGGGUAAGCCGAGUGGCGAUCCCGAUGGCAAACAGGUUAAUAUUCCUGUACUGAUCAUAACUGCGAUGCAGCGACGCAGAGGUGACACUGCUGCGUACUGACGGAAUAGUACGUUGAAACCCGUAUUCUUUGAUACCGGUAGUGAAGCACGCCGGUAGAGAUGAAAGGUGAUAGUACCGCAAUGCUUCGGUUGCGCGGAUAACGCAGGUAAGCUGACUGCCAAGAAAACCUGCUAAGCUUCAGGUAAUGAUCAUCCGUACUGUAAACGGACACACGUGAUCAGGUAGAAAAUACUAAGGCGCUCGAGAGAUUCAUGGUUAAGGAACUAGGCAAAAUGGUCCUGUAACUUCGGGAUAAAGGACGCUCUUGUGAAAGAGCCGCAGAUAAUAGGCCCAGGCGACUGUUUACCAAAAACACAUGGCUAUGCUAAUUCGCAAGAAGAUGUAUAUGGCCUGACACCUGCCCGGUGCCGGAAGGUUAAGAGGAGAGCUCAGAGGCAACUCGAAGGUUUGAAUUGAAGCCCCGGUAAACGGCGGCCGUAACUAUAACGGUCCUAAGGUAGCGAAAUUCCUUGUCGGGUAAGUUCCGACCUGCACGAAUGGAGCUUUGCAUUGAUUUUGGGUAACAGAUGUGUAGGAUAGGUCGGAGGCUUUGAUGCUGCGUCGUCAGGCGUAGAGUAGCCGUCGUUGAAAUACGACCCUUUUGUUAUCUGAGGUCUAAUCCCGUUAGGGAGACAUUGCAUGGUGGGUAGUUUGACUGGGGUGGUCGCCUCCAAAAGUGUAACGGAGGCUUCUCAAGGUACCCUCAAGGCGUUUGGUAAUCGUCUGCAGAGUGCAAUGGCAUAAGGGUGCUUGACUGUGAGACCGACACGUCGAUCAGGUUGGAAACAAGAGCAUAGUGAUCCGGUGGUUCCGCAUGGAAGGGCCAUCGCUCAAAGGAUAAAAGGUACUCCGGGGAUAACAGGCUGAUCGCUCCCAAGAGCUCAUAU